This 389-nucleotide long non-coding RNA is filed under the name Pogona vitticeps (central bearded dragon). RNAcentral describes it as "lncRNA (ENSPVIG00000018843.1)". The record is from RNAcentral. Lineage: Eukaryota; Metazoa; Chordata; Lepidosauria; Squamata; Agamidae.
AUGUUCCUCUCCAUUCCCUCAGUUUGCACAGGAGCUGCUAUUUUGUGUCUUGCUUAUUACAGUGACGGAGACGUCAGUAUACGGAAUUUCCAGUUCCACAUUUUGGCACACUUCAGAUGGUUUCCUGAUCUACUGGUCUCUUCUGCUCACAUUUGGACAAUGCAUCAAAACAUUUCCCUUUUUGGAAAAUAUCUGAUGCUGGCAGCAGACGCCAAUCCCAUUACCGCAGGAGCUCAUUGUCACCCUAGCUACUUUCACUUCCUGAAGUAGGACAGCUGCGGCUCACAUAAACAAAUAUGUUGGGAGAUCAGGACCAUGGCAGAGAAACAUGACACAUCAAGCAGCUGCAAGCAUUAGUGCCAAGCAAUAAACCAUCUGAGUACCGCUCA